This 267-nucleotide ribosomal RNA is filed under the name uncultured bacterium. RNAcentral's name for it is "partial 16S ribosomal RNA". It matches the Rfam family "Bacterial small subunit ribosomal RNA", at positions 334 to 619 of the family's 1533-position model. The record is from RNAcentral.
UUUUCCUAGGGGGGCAGCAGUGGGGAAUAUUGCACAAUGGGGGAAACCCUGAUGCAGCAACGCCGCGUGAGUGAAGAAGUCAUUCGUGAUGUAAAGCUCUAUCAGCAGGGAAGAAAAUGACGGUACCUGAGUAAGAAGCCCCGGCUAACUACGUGCCAGCAGCCGCGGUAAUACGUAGGGGGCAAGCGUUAUCCGGAUUUACUGGGUGCAAAGGGAGCGUAGACGGCCAGAAAAGUCUGAAGUGAAAAUCCAGCGCUUAACGUUGGA